RNAcentral lists this ribosomal RNA (498 nucleotides) under uncultured bacterium. RNAcentral's name for it is "partial 16S ribosomal RNA". It matches the Rfam family "Bacterial small subunit ribosomal RNA", at positions 28 to 507 of the family's 1533-position model. The record is from RNAcentral.
GACGAACGCUGGCGACGUGCCUAAUACAUGCAAGUCGAGCGGACGAAUCGAAAGCUUGCUUUUGAUUCGUUAGCGGCGGACGGGUGAGUAACACGUGGGCAACCUGCCCUGUAGACGGGGAUAACACCGAGAAAUCGGUGCUAAUACCGGAUAACACGAAAUGUCGCAUGACGUUUCGUUGAAAGACGGCGCAAGCUGCCGCUACAGGAUGGGCCCGCGGCGCAUUAGCUAGUUGGUGAGGUAACGGCUCACCAAGGCGACGAUACGUAGCCGACCUGAGAGGGUGAUCGGCCACACUGGGACUGAGACACGGCCCAGACUCCUACGGGAGGCAGCAGUAGGGAAUCUUCCGCAAUGGACGAAAGUCUGACGGAGCAACGCCGCGUGAGCGAAGAAGGCCUUCGGGUCGUAAAGCUCUGUUGUUAGGGAAGAACAAGUAACGCAGUAACUGGCGUUACCGUGACGGUACCUAACGAGAAAGCCACGGCUAACUACGUG